This 700-nucleotide ribosomal RNA is filed under the name uncultured bacterium. RNAcentral's name for it is "bacterial SSU rRNA". It matches the Rfam family "Bacterial small subunit ribosomal RNA", at positions 42 to 733 of the family's 1533-position model. The record is from RNAcentral.
UCAGGCCUAACACAUGCAAGUCGAGCGGAAACGAUGGUAGCUUGCUACCAGGCGUCGAGCGGCGGACGGGUGAGUAACGCGUGGGAAUCUGCCCAUUGGUGGGGGAUAGCCCGGAGAAAUCCGGAUUAAUACCGCAUAAUACCUAAGGGUUAAAGCAGGGGAUCUUCGGACCUUGCGCCAAUGGAUGAGCCCGCGUCAGAUUAGCUUGUUGGUGAGGUAAAGGCUCACCAAGGCUGCGAUCUGUAGCUGGCCUGAGAGGGUGGUCAGUCACACUGGAACUGAGACACGGUCCAGACUCCUACGGGAGGCAGCAGUGGGGAAUAUUGGGCAAUGGGCGCAAGCCUGACCCAGCCAUGCCGCGUGUGUGAAGAAGGCUCUAGGGUUGUAAAGCACUUUAAGUUGGGAGGAAGGCUGUUUAGUUAAUACCUAAGCAGAUUGACGUUACCAACAGAAUAAGCACCGGCUAAUUCCGUGCCAGCAGCCGCGGUAAUACGGAAGGUGCGAGCGUUAAUCGGAAUUACUGGGCGUAAAGCGCACGUAGGCGGUUUGCUAAGUCAGAUGUGAAAGCCCCGGGCUUAACCUGGGAACUGCAUCUGAUACUGGCAGGCUAGAGUACAGUAGAGGGAGGUGGAAUUUCAGGUGUAGCGGUGAAAUGCGUAGAGAUCUGAAGGAACACCAGUGGCGAAGGCGGCCUCCUGGA